GCGUUUGUGGCGAAGUGGUUUAACGCUCCGGGUUGUGGCUCCGGCAUACGUGGGUUCGAUCCCCAUCAAACGCCCCA
This 77-nucleotide transfer RNA is filed under the name Metamycoplasma hominis. Its description in RNAcentral is "tRNA-His (GTG) (tRNA-His-GTG-1-1)". It matches the Rfam family "tRNA". Rfam says of the family: Transfer RNA (tRNA) molecules are approximately 80 nucleotides in length. Their secondary structure includes four short double-helical elements and three loops (D, anti-codon, and T loops). Further hydrogen bonds mediate the characteristic L-shaped molecular structure. tRNAs have two regions of fundamental functional importance: the anti-codon, which is responsible for specific mRNA codon recognition, and the 3' end, to which the tRNAs corresponding amino acid is attached (by aminoacyl-tRNA synthetases). tRNAs cope with the degeneracy of the genetic code in two manners: having more than one tRNA (with a specific anti-codon) for a particular amino acid; and 'wobble' base-pairing, i.e. permitting non-standard base-pairing at the 3rd anti-codon position. RNAcentral also lists the same sequence under 2 other names. Lineage: Bacteria; Bacillati; Mycoplasmatota; Mycoplasmoidales; Metamycoplasmataceae. The record is from RNAcentral.